GGAAAAAUAAGAACACAAGAAAGGAGGAAAAGAACUACCCAUGGCCUCCUUGGCUAAGUGGACUUUUGCUGUAUUUCUGCCUAGGAUUUUUCCUCAGACAUGUUUUUACAUGGUUGUGACCAAAGAGUUUCAGAGCAAGGUGUGCUUUGCCUUCCCUUAAAGCUAUGCUUCCCACAACUCCCCUUCUAUGGAAAAAGUGUGACUUAGCGGGGAUAAAAUGGAAGCUGAUUUUGCUCUCAGUCAAAUCACUAAGACGCAACCAUUCAGCCAAAACAAAAACAUUCCACCACAGAAGAGACCACGUCCUGUUCCAGACCUCCUAAAAGAAGAUCAACCUUCUUUUGGGCCAGACUUCAGUUUUGCAAAUAAUAAAGCCAACAUGCUUCAAAUGCAUCUCCCACUCUCUCACUUUUGUCUCUACCAGUUCUGGAGAAAUCCGUGAAGUGCACUUGGUCUACAGAAAAGCAGCCCCUGAGUCAAGGACAAGGCCAGCUGCCAUCCCCAAAUCAAGGUCCUCCCACACAACCUCUCCCAA
This 535-nucleotide long non-coding RNA is filed under the name Homo sapiens (human). RNAcentral's name for it is "HSALNT0037487". Lineage: Eukaryota; Metazoa; Chordata; Mammalia; Primates; Hominidae. The record is from RNAcentral.